AGAAAGAAAAAAACUAGGUAGUCAGAGAAAUCAGUUAAAACAUUAAUGACAUAGGUUGUAGGAGGAAACAGAAAACUGAUGAAUUUUCAUUUCUAGGGGUCAACUGUGAAGAGAAACUGCCCUGUUGAUGGGUUGGAUUUGGUGGGCCUCAUCUUGCUGUGAUGAGUCUCCAGAGGCAGUUGUUUUGUUGUAAUAAGACUGUCCUUCAGUUAUUUUGCUAGUAUAUUUAUUAUCUUGAUUGGUUGUAUGCUUAGCUUUUAUUCUCAUCUCAUGCUCUCUUUGUGCGUAUCAUUUGUUGACUUCGUAUGGACUACAAAUACUUGCCAACUAAGCAAAGAAAAAAGAAAAAGAAAAAAAAUUAUUGGACAACGUGGAUUUUAGCUUUCGUAGCCUCUUAACCAUUUUCAGUUGUUUGGUUAUCAAACUUCAG
RNAcentral lists this long non-coding RNA (430 nucleotides) under Citrus maxima (pomelo). Its description in RNAcentral is "long non-coding RNA (CMAX_LNC002630)". The record is from RNAcentral. Lineage: Eukaryota; Viridiplantae; Streptophyta; Magnoliopsida; Sapindales; Rutaceae.